This 376-nucleotide long non-coding RNA is filed under the name Danio rerio (zebrafish). RNAcentral's name for it is "lncRNA (ENSDARG00000117565.1)". Lineage: Eukaryota; Metazoa; Chordata; Actinopteri; Cypriniformes; Danionidae. The record is from RNAcentral.
AUGGUAUUAAGAUUAAUUAAUGACUUGAAAUCUUUCUAUUGUAUUUUGCAGAUUGGCUUAACCACAUGGAGAAAAAAAGCAAUCACACACCUCAGCAAUGACUGCAUUUUUUUUUCUUUUUCAGGUAAUGGAGAGAGAGCAGGCAGAAGAUGGAGACUCACAAGAGCAUCAGUGGACAUUGAUUUAAAAAAUGCUGGAGGACAGCAGGUUUUUCUUUUUCAGGUAAUGAGAGAGAGCAGGCAAAGGAAGGAGACUCAUAAGGGAAACGGUGGAGAUGUACUUGAAGACCUGAAGCUCAGGAAGCAGACUAGUAUGGAGCAUGUGGAGAAACAGGGAAACACACCUCAGUAAUGACAAGUACAUCAUAACAAUUUAG